UAGAUUGGAAUUACUUUGAGUUUUUCCAACAAGGGUAUAUUUUGACGAAUCGACAGGCAAAUCGACAGCGCUGUCAGAAAAGCUAUCAGGUAUUGAAUCGAUAGAGCUGAUAGCAUCAAAAUUUCGCAAAAUACGACUAUGAGUACCCGGUUGUUGGGAGAAAGAAGGAUCGUUCGUAACUGUCUCAACCUCCGAAUUGGUAGCAUUAUUUUGUUUAAGUGAACGAAUUGUGGCUACCUCAUCAUCCACAUCUGAAUCUUGUAAUCGUAGUUUAAGAUUUUCUUCAUCCAACUCACCUGAGGGCUGCUUACUAGGAGAAUAAAGAAAUGGUGAAUUUACAGAAGUUAUAGAUGGAUGAUGCUCCGGUUUUGAGAGGUUUUCAUCCUUCUCCUUUUCAGCAUCGAUUCCAAAAUCGUUAGAUAGUGAGUCCGAAAGUUCUUCCUCUGGGUUUUGCUGCGGAGACUCAACAAAUGGAAUAGACAAGCUAUCAGUUGACUUAGUAGUUUGUAAUUGCUUGACAUGAGUGUCAAUAUCUGUUCGAGAAAGCUUUUCAUCAGGACUAGGUAUUUGUUCAAACUUCUCAUUUGAAUGAUUCGAGUGUGAGCUUGUUAUAGAAUACGCAUAACCCUUA
Schizosaccharomyces pombe (fission yeast) is the source of this 631-nucleotide non-coding RNA. NCBI's taxonomy places the organism in Eukaryota, Fungi, Ascomycota, Schizosaccharomycetes, Schizosaccharomycetales, Schizosaccharomycetaceae. The record is from the annotation of a GenBank genome assembly.